This 482-nucleotide ribosomal RNA is filed under the name uncultured bacterium. RNAcentral's name for it is "partial 16S ribosomal RNA". It matches the Rfam family "Bacterial small subunit ribosomal RNA", at positions 30 to 507 of the family's 1533-position model. The record is from RNAcentral.
AUUGAACGCUGGCGGCAUGCUUUACACAUGCAAGUCGAACGGUAACAGGCCGCAAGGUGCUGACGAGUGGCGAACGGGUGAGUAAUGCAUCGGAACGUGCCCAGUCGUGGGGGAUAACUACUCGAAAGAGUAGCUAAUACCGCAUACGAUCUAUGGAUGAAAGCGGGGGACCGUAAGGCCUCGCGCGAUUGGAGCGGCCGAUGUCAGAUUAGGUAGUUGGUGGGGUAAAGGCUCACCAAGCCAACGAUCUGUAGCUGGUCUGAGAGGACAACCAGCCACACUGGGACUGAGACACGGCCCAGACUCCUACGGGAGGCAGCAGUGGGGAAUUUUGGACAAUGGGCGCAAGCCUGAUCCAGCAAUGCCGCGUGCAGGAAGAAGGCCUUCGGGUUGUAAACUGCUUUUGUACAGAACGAAACGGCUCUGGUUAAUACCCGGGGCUAAUGACGGUACCGUAAGAAUAAGCACCGGCUAACUACGUG